GACGAACGCUGGCGGCGUGCUUAACACAUGCAAGUCGAACGGAAAGGCCCUGGUUUUGUUGGGUGCUCGGGUGGCGAACGGGUGAGUAACACGUGAGUAACCUGCCCCUUCCUUUUGGAUAACUUCAGGAAACUGGGGCUAAUACCGGAUAGGAGCUCCUGCUGCAUGGUGGGGGUUGGAAAGUUUCGGCGGUUGGGGAUGGACUCGCGGCUUAUCAGCUUGUUGGUGGGGUAGUGGCUUACCAAGGCUUUGACGGGUAGCCGGCCUGAGAGGGUGACCGGCCACAUUGGGACUGAGAUACGGCCCAGACUCCUACGGGAGGCAGCAGUGGGGAAUAUUGCACAAUGGGCGGAAGCCUGAUGCAGCAACGCCGCGUGCGGGAUGACGGCCUUCGGGUUGUAAACCGCUUUCGCCUGUGACGAAGCGUGAGUGACGGUAAUGGGUAAAGAAGCACCGGCUAACUACGUG
Molecule: ribosomal RNA, 468 nt
Filed under: uncultured bacterium
Lineage: Bacteria
Description: partial 16S ribosomal RNA
Rfam family: Bacterial small subunit ribosomal RNA
Source: RNAcentral